This 517-nucleotide ribosomal RNA is filed under the name uncultured soil bacterium. RNAcentral's name for it is "bacterial SSU rRNA". It matches the Rfam family "Bacterial small subunit ribosomal RNA", at positions 8 to 526 of the family's 1533-position model. The record is from RNAcentral.
AGAGUUUGAUCCUGGCUCAGAUUGAACGCUGGCGGCAUGCCUUACACAUGCAAGUCGAACGGUAGAGGGGCAACCCUUGAGAGUGGCGAACGGGUGAGUAAUAUAUCGGAACGUGCCCAGUCGUGGGGGAUAACGCAGCGAAAGCUGCGCUAAUACCGCAUACGAUCUAAGGAUGAAAGCGGGGGAUCGCAAGACCUCGCGCGAUUGGAGCGGCCGAUAUCAGAUUAGGUAGUUGGUGGGGUAAAAGCCCACCAAGCCGACGAUCUGUAGCUGGUCUGAGAGGACGACCAGCCACACUGGGANUGAGACACGGCCCAGACUCCUACGGGAGGCAGCAGUGGGGAAUUUUGGACAAUGGGCGCAAGCCUGAUCCAGCAAUGCCGCGUGCAGGACGAAGGCCUUCGGGUUGUAAACUGCUUUUGUACGGAGCGAAACGGUNNGGNNUAAUACCCUGGGCUAAUGACGGUACCGUAAGAAUAAGCACCGGCUAACUACGUNCCAGCCGCCGCGGUAAUUC